AUGGCGGAUGCCGCCUUCCAGCACUUCUCGACAGUCCUCGGCUCCUCGGAUUCACGCGACUUCACGCUGGACCUGAAUAUGAUCGACCCGAGAUCAUUCGACCUUUCCUACCUCGACCGGCCAUUCACCGAGCAGGAGGUGUGGAGGGUUGUCAAGCAGCUUCCCACCGGCAAAUCCCCCGGCCCCGACGGCUUCUCCGCCGAAUUCUUGCGCAGCUGCUGGGAGGUGCUCAAAGGCGACAUCAUGGACGCCUUUGACAAGAUUUACCACCUGAAUUGGCGAGGCUUCCAGUGCCUUAACGAGGCGUUCAUCACCUUACUAUCCAAGCGCACCGACGUUGCCGCUCUUGGCGAUUACAGGCCGAUCAGCUUGAUUCAUAUCAUGGCUAAGUUGGUGGCUAAAGUGCUCUCUCUUCGCUUGGCGCCAGGACUCAACGAGCUGGUUUCCUCGAGCCAGAGUGCGUUCAUCUCAGGGCGGUGCUUCCACGAUAAUUUUAUGCUCGUCCAGCAAACGGUUCGUCACCUCCAUGGUUCCAAGGCCAACCGCGUUCUGCUCAAACUGGAUAUUGCCCGAACUUUUGACGUCGUCUCAUGGCCCUUCCUGCUCGAGGUCUUGCGGCAUCUGGGAUUCGGUAGAUGGUGGUGUGAGUGGAUUUCCAUCCUUCUAUCUACUGCCUCCACCCGCGUCCUCAUCAACGGCAGCCCGGGCCCUCCCAUCUUCCACGCAAAGGGACUGCGCCAAGGAGACCCGGUGUCCCCAUGCUUUUCACCAUGGUGA
RNAcentral lists this ribosomal RNA (777 nucleotides) under Triticum aestivum (bread wheat). RNAcentral describes it as "partial small subunit ribosomal RNA". The record is from RNAcentral. Lineage: Eukaryota; Viridiplantae; Streptophyta; Magnoliopsida; Poales; Poaceae.